Lolium rigidum is the source of this 386-nucleotide long non-coding RNA. RefSeq lists it as uncharacterized. The transcript is spliced from 3 exons. Lineage: Eukaryota; Viridiplantae; Streptophyta; Magnoliopsida; Poales; Poaceae. The record is from RefSeq and is a predicted model, not a curated record.
UUCACUUGCACACACAAUGUGUUUAGUCUAGAUGAAUGAGCCGUGUACUCAGUUCCCUAUUCCCUGUAAAUGUUGUAUGUCAAGGUAUCUCACCUCAUCCAGACAACAACCUUGAGCCAUACGUUGUAUUGGGAGUUGGAAAGAAUUGCAUAUGAGACUACAUACAUGUGCUGCCUAACUGGCGUGGAUUUUGCUGUUGUCAUGAUCCGGAUGUCGCCACCACUAACUGGACAUCUGGAUAUCUGGCCGUUAGCAGAUUUGUUGUCUUCAAAUACGGCUAAAUUUAUUUACCUUGGUGCUAAAAUUCACAACGGCCUUAUUAUUCAAUGAAAUACGACAAGGAGCAGAGGGGCGGGUUCAAUGCCCACUUCCAUUUAGUGAAACAC